UGGGUGUAAUUAGAUACAAAAGCGCCC
This 27-nucleotide non-coding RNA is filed under the name Mus musculus (house mouse). Lineage: Eukaryota; Metazoa; Chordata; Mammalia; Rodentia; Muridae. The record is from RNAcentral.